AACCUGCAGGACACCGGCCCUGAGGCCUGGAUUUCCCCCACCCCUGGUUUAGAUGGAGGCCUUACACACUGUCUAACAUUUUUCAAUGCAACGAUGCAGUUAAAUGGAAACUUUGGAAAUGAAGUCCAUUCCUCGUCUGAAGCUUCCAAACAGAUGAACAGCCACUCCACUUCAUCCUCAGGGUCUCUCCAUAAAGGAACGUAACGAAACAUUGUGCUUCUCUUGGUUGCAAAGUUCUAACUGCUGAAAAAAGAGAGGCCUGCUGUUCUUCAAAGGAACCAGCCAUAACUCCUGGAGAGGACAGAGGCUCUGGAAUAUGCACAAUAUAUGCAAAGCAAUGCGGUGGACUUGUUUGAUUUUGUAUUAUGAUUGUUUGAUUUGAAGUGUUAAGCAUGUUACGAGUGUAGAUAUGAUAGUUAAAUAAACACACAUGAUGUGUUUUUGAUUAUUUUAUUUGGUGAAAAUGAGGCAAAUGUUCAGGAUUAUUGUACAAAACAACAGGACAGCAUUGUAGAAGUACCACAGCCAGGUGGAAAUUAAAUGUAGAGCCACAACUAUGUGGCUAAACAGAUGUUCUCUUGGCUUAAGGCCCAGAUAUCUGCUUGUUUUUUGGUUACAAAAAGUAGAUCCUUGCAGAGCAAUACAACAUACCAAAUCUUAGAACUCGUAAUUCCACUAAAACAGCUGUGAUGCAAAUACAUGUUUUUAACUGCUGUAUAUCAGUGUCGAGUUUAAGUUUGUUGUUUUGUUUCAUGUACAAAUGUCUUCUUUUUUAAUUUUUUAAUUUCCUUGGUUGAGUAUGUGAUUUUUGUUGCAGAUAACAUGGUGUCACUUAUGUUUUCAGCCCACAAUUUGAAUAAUAAUAAUAAUGAUAAUUUAAAAACUGCGAACAGCUUUUGAGUCGACGUUUUGAGUUUGCCAGUUUUCAUUUGGUCAAAAGUUAUUUGUCACUAUGCACCAUCUCAAGAGUAGUCUGGGCAAAUUCAGAGGACUCUCCUUUAAAAUACAAGUGUUGACUCAAGGCCUUAGUCACACAGGCCUAGAGACCCUUUUGCAAACCCCCGGCAGACUCUUGGUACCCUAACAGCUGGCGAGUCGUUCCUGGAGGUUGCUGAGUGAGAUGUGUCGCAAGGAGGGUGCUGCACCAAAAAUCUUUUGUCAUUGCUUUGGUCAUCAGCAUAUUAAUGCUAUCACUCAUUGUUUACACUGAAAAUGUUGAUUUGUAUGCUAGCACUUGUCAACUUGCCACUUUAACCAACACAUUUCAGAAGGCACAACUCUUACUUUAAAGGUAAAUGUUCUACAUUGUCCAGUUUGCACUUUUUCCACUUCUCUUUUUUAAUAUUACAGUACAGUGAAGAACAACAAGAAAGCAGAGGAGCGAGAGCAGGGAAGGCACAGGCCACAGGUCAGCCAUGCGGCAUAUGGGCGCCUGCUCAUCACAGUGCGCUAAACCGGCACCCCACUAUUCCCACUUUUUAUUGUUUGACUGACACUCGACAAGUAGUUGGCGACUGUUUGCAACAUCUUCUGUAUAAACUGCAGGGGAUCACAGCAAUCGAGAGACCAAAGCAAUAACAAGGUUUUUGUUGCAGCACCUUUUUGAUGACCAAUAUCAACAAGCAGCCACCCGGCUGGUGACGUGGACACCAGUGAAUGCGAUACCUCGAGAAUGAGGAGACGUAGGAGCUUCAAAUUAAUAACACACAGGUGUCUCUACUAAAAAUCUCCAACAGAGUUAAUCACUGCCUGGUCUUUAAGGCUCUGCUAUUUUAAUAUAUAUAUGUAUAUUUAUUUUACAGUGUUCAAAACUUUAUAUUUUGAACCCUACCCAAAGUUUUUCUCCAGUUUUAUACAUUCCUCAUGUAGUUUCACCAGUCCAGCCCACUUAAAAUCAAAGUGGGCUGUAUGUGGCCCACAGUUUAAAAAGAGUUUGACAUCCCUGCUCUAAGGCUUUAGCAGAUGUUUUCACAGAACAACAAGCAACCCAUUUUUCCCUAGCAACUGAUGGUUGCCAACCGGUCGCUAUCCCUGUGUGACCAGAGCCUAAGAUAGAAAUAGUGCAUUUUUUCCCUGUCAGUUUGGAAUCAGUAUUUUUCCUAAGGUCAGAAAUCUAAUUCAGUUACGUCGAGCACAGCAAUGCCAUCGAGUCCUCUAGCUCUGCUUCAGGUUAACAAACUGCUCCGUUGUAGUUUACAGUAAAUUCAGCAGAAUCUUUUUGACCAGUGAAACAGCACAACCAGAAACGGGACCCUAGUGUUUAUCUUGUAUUUUGUUAAUGAAAGGUCCUUGGCCAUUUUCCAAACUUUAGGUCCAGGAUUGAUGUGAAAAAUGAAUCUAGACUCACGCUCGUCAUCGAAGCCAGUCUUUAAAAAGGGUCUCAGAACAACCAGUGAACAAUGAAAAGUGCUGCAAUGUUUUUAUUUUUAUUUUAAAUCCAAGUUUAAAAUUUAAAUGCAACAAUUUGCCCUUAUGUUUUCAAUUAGAGCGCAGACAUCUGCACUUCUUUGGCAUUGUGCUAGUGAUGUAGCCAUUUAAUGCUGUGAUUUAUUUCUUUUAGAAGUAGAACUUGUAGCAAUGAGCAUUUCUACUGAUCCAAAACUCACCUCAGUCUCCAGUUGUUUUCAUGUGUUUCAUUGUUUGCAGAUUUUAGUAAGUUUACAUUUCAGUUCCUCCUUCUCAGUGUAUUCAUAUCCCAUAGAGACGUAGUCUAUGCAUUUAACUAAAAGCCAUCAACUUAUGGAUUCUUGGGAGAUUUUAAGACUCCAUAAUUAUGAAAGCACUGACUUUAAUCUGUGUGGAGAGAUUUUUCUUCUUUUUGAUAAAUAUUGUAAAUGAUAGUUUUAUUUAAUGGUCUUUGUUUGUUUGCGAUGAGUCGGAUUUCAACAAUUAAAAGUAUUUGAUAUUUGUAGUAGCAGAACAUGUUAAAAACAUGUUGAAUCUUCGUCACCUUUGAGGUCAGAGGUCAGGGUCAGCGGGUUGUGAUGCUCCCGCAGCAGGUAUCACUGAGCCUGUGUUUUGCAACGACCCUCUAACUGUAACUCCUGUUUGGCAUGAAGAGACAGGAAGCACUGAGAGAGGGAUAUUUACGCAAGUCUGAACUCUUAUGCAAACCUCCAGCUUACAGUUGAGCUCUCGCUGGGUUCAUUUUUGUGACUAUGUAAACAUGUUUCAUAGUUAUUAUGUUGGUUCAGAAUUUAUAUUUUCGACAGAUCAACAAUUUUUGUCUGACUGUAAAAUUCAAAUAAAGUUGGUUGAUGCCGAUCUGCGAUGGGUUUUUUUUCUCCCUCACACAUCAUCUUCAUUCAGAAGCCUCACGUCACUGUGUCACGUUCCUUCUCAGCACAGUUUAACUCAGCUCUCUUCUUCUAGUUUGCACAAUAUAUAUUCAAAUAAAGUACAAAGGAUUUUUUUUCCUGCUCUUUAAUAAACAAAAUGACAAAACUAAAUAACAAUUGGG
This is a long non-coding RNA of Oreochromis aureus, 3460 nucleotides long. The record is from Ensembl. NCBI's taxonomy places the organism in Eukaryota, Metazoa, Chordata, Actinopteri, Cichliformes, Cichlidae.